This 254-nucleotide ribosomal RNA is filed under the name uncultured bacterium. RNAcentral describes it as "partial 16S ribosomal RNA". It matches the Rfam family "Bacterial small subunit ribosomal RNA", at positions 524 to 776 of the family's 1533-position model. The record is from RNAcentral.
UACGGAGGGUGCGAGCGUUGUCCGGAAUCACUGGGCGUAAAGGGCGCGUAGGCGGCGCGGAUAGUCGGCGGUGAAAGCCCGGAGCUCAACUCCGGGUCGGCCGUCGAUACUUCCGGGCUUGAGCACUGUAGAGGCAGAUGGAAUUCCGGGUGUAGCGGUGGAAUGCGUAGAGAUCCGGAGGAAGACCGGUGGCGAAGGCGGUCUGCUGGGCAGUUUCUGACACUGAGGCGCGACGAGCGUGGGGAGCAAACAGG